AACGCACGAGACCUGCGGACCUGCGGAGGGAUCAUUAACAAAUUGUCCACGAUACUGGAUAAUUUUUAUCCAUAUCCACCUUGUGUGAACCAUUGACGUGUUUGUUGGCAGGUUUACGCAAUCUCUCCUUGCAAAAGGGAAGCUUGUGAGCUGGACGUUGUCUGUGCUCGGCCUGCCAAUUUUAUUCUUUAAAACGUGUCUAUUUAAAUUACUUGUCUGAAAUUCUAUAUAUUAUAAUAA
This 240-nucleotide unclassified non-coding RNA is filed under the name soil metagenome. Its description in RNAcentral is "partial contains 5.8S ribosomal RNA, internal transcribed spacer 2, and large subunit ribosomal RNA". The record is from RNAcentral.